Camellia sinensis is the source of this 118-nucleotide small nuclear RNA. RefSeq annotates it as U5 spliceosomal RNA. NCBI's taxonomy places the organism in Eukaryota, Viridiplantae, Streptophyta, Magnoliopsida, Ericales, Theaceae. The record is from RefSeq and is a predicted model, not a curated record.
AGCCACACAGUAAGCACAAAACAAGUUAUUCUUUCACCUUUUACUAAAAAAAUGCCAUGUACUCGUUGUGAAUAGUGGCAUAGGCCUAUUUUUGGAGAGGUUCUUCUCAAAUGGGGUU